RNAcentral lists this small RNA (2227 nucleotides) under Pyricularia oryzae. Its description in RNAcentral is "Magnaporthe oryzae sRNA M_BR32_EuGene_00102601". The record is from RNAcentral. Lineage: Eukaryota; Fungi; Ascomycota; Sordariomycetes; Magnaporthales; Pyriculariaceae.
AAUUACCAAUUAAACGUUUAAUUGUUUUAACCCACAAUACCCUAAUUUUUAAAAACAGGUUCCCCCGAUAUCUGGAUCGUAACCCUAUUCCUAUAUAUUUUAACGUCCGUAAAUAUUUUAAAGGCGAUUCCAGUUAAAUUGUAAAAUAUAAAAGAAAAAUUUACCUGGGUGGAUUAAAAUUGAAAAUUUUUAUAAUAUUAUUCCCAUUUAACGUAUAUGGCAAUUUAAUAAUAUAUAUCCAAUGGGCAUUUUUGCGUUAUAUAAUUUCGGUUUUCCUCGUUUUAUUUACCUUAUUUGUCAAUAAGGCGCUAUUAUUAACGAAAAUCUGCAAAAUCUUUUGGUGGCCUCCUAAUAAAACGGUUUGGAAAACGUUGCCGUACCGGCCGCCCUAAAUAUUAACGUCCGCACUUUUAUCGACCAAAAUUUGCACAAUUUUUUUAUCGCUUUUAAAUAAAGUAAUAUAAAAAGCGUUGCCGUAUUCGCCGCCCUAAAUAUUAACGUCGGCAUUUUUAUCGACCAAAGUCUGUAUAAUCUCUUUAUAACCUUUAAAUAAAGCGGUUUGGAAAACGUUACCGUAUUCGCCGCCCUAAAUAUUAACGUCCGCACCGUUAUUUAACACCUUUUCCACAGCGCAAAAUACGUUUCCCCCAACCAUAUAAUAAAAUAAAGGAAUUACAACCUUUUUAAAAUUGUUAAAAUUUCUUUUAUUCCAUAGUUUGUCGGGAUUAUAAAGGUCAAAACAAAUUUAAUAACAUUUUUUAUUUUAAACGAAUUUCCAAACAAAAUUUUCAAGUUUUUUGGUAUUUGGUCCAGUAUAACCAGCGUGGCCCAUCCAAUAUCGUGCAACGUAUUGUAUUAAAGGCCAAUUUUAUAAUUCCACCGCUGUAAAGUUAUGGUUAAGGUUUAGCAGAUAUACCAGGCAAACCUCCGCCAUAUAUUACCUAACAAACCUUUUUUAAAAUUAUAACGACAUUUUGUUUUCCAAUCGAUCCAAUAUAAAGUAUUUUUUCAUUAAAAAAUGCGCAAAUUGUAAUUUUUUUUUUUGUUUCCCUUUUUGCCGCUUUUAUUUAUUACAAUUACCAAAUUUAAACAAUAUGUAAAAAUUUCGUCUGGUUCGGGCAUUUUAUAAUCGGCGUUAAAUUUUGGCUUUUUUUCCAAAUUAACGGCAUUUAUAUCGACAGUUUUUUCAAAUUGCAAUGGUCGUUCGGAAAACGUAAAAAAUUGCAAAAAUUUUGUCGCGUUGCGUUCGUAAUUUGGCGGGAUUUUGUUCAAAAUGCGUACGUAUAUUUCGUCCAGCGUUUUUGGUAACGUUUUAAACGCCGUUCGAAAAUUAAUAGGAUUAGGACAUUUUUCCAAAAAAUCGAAUUGGCACGAAACCCAUCGAAACCUGCAUUCCAAUUUAACAAUAGGUUUUCGGAACAUUAGGUGAAAAUUUAUUUUUAUAUUCUAUUGGCCUUUUAUAUUAAAUGGUCUUCAAUUUUUUACUAAAUAUUUUUUCGCCUUUACCAUCGUUUCAAUCCUUUAUAAUAUUUUACCUUUUUAUAAAUAUACGCGCAUAUAUUAUCGGCGACCAAUUUGUUUUAUAUAGGUAUUUGGUGGUCCACGAAUUUAUCCAAAAUUAAUUCGAUAUUUCGUUUUGGACGAUUUGUAAAUAAAACGUAAAUAUUUGCUCGUAAAACCGUUAAAAAAUCCUUAAUCCAAAACAGCAGCCUUUUGUUUUUUAUACCCUUUUUUGUUUGGCAUUCGUCGAAUACGUUUAAUAUAAUCCAAAUUUCGCCAAUAUGCUAAGCCAUUUUUUCCAAAAUUUCGUUUAACAAAUUAACGGUGGGUAUUCGCGACCUAUUUUCGUAAAAGAAAUAAAACGAAUACAAAUACCCCUGGUAAACGUUCGGGUUUUUUUGGUACAAUUGGUAUAUAAACGACCGAAUCGCAUUUUCGAAUAACUGUUUGCUAAUAUCGCUAAAAUUAAAAUAAAAAUAAAUAAAAUUGUCGGAAUAAAACCUGGUAUGGCGCAAAUUGUCGAUAAUGGUCGAAUUAAAAAUUGUUUUGCUACAACCGGGGAUAUUAUAAAAUUAUAAAAAAGAUUUUGGCGUUGUUUUCCAUUGCGAAUAUUUUUCGCUUUUUAGGAAUUAUUGGCCUAUAUUUCCAUAACGUUGUUUCAAAACUUUUUUGUCGUUUGUCGAUAUAUUUGGCGGGGCGAACCAUUUAAUAAUUUCCUAAAAAUAUU